AUACGGAGGAUCCGAGCGUUAUCCGGAUUUAUUGGGUUUAAAGGGUGCGCAGGCGGGAGAUUAAGUCGGCGGUGAAAUUUUGCAGCUCAACUGUAAAAGUGCCUUCGAAACUGGUUUCCUUGAGUGUAGAUGAAGUAGGCGGAAUUUGUGGUGUAGCGGUGAAAUGCAUAGAUAUCACGAGGAACUCCGAUUGCGCAGGCAGCUUACUAAACUACUACUGACGCUCAGGCACGAAGGCGUGGGGAUCAAACAGGAUUAGAUACCCUGGUAGUCCACGCAGUAAACGAUGAUUACUAGCUGUUUGCGAUACAAUGUAAGCGGCUGAGCGAAAGCGUUAAGUAAUCCACCUGGGGAGUACGCCGGCAACGGUGAAACUUAAAGGAAUUGACGGGG
This 393-nucleotide ribosomal RNA is filed under the name uncultured bacterium. RNAcentral describes it as "partial 16S ribosomal RNA". It matches the Rfam family "Bacterial small subunit ribosomal RNA", at positions 523 to 918 of the family's 1533-position model. The record is from RNAcentral.